Molecule: transfer RNA, 76 nt
Filed under: Psychrobacter sp.
Lineage: Bacteria; Pseudomonadati; Pseudomonadota; Gammaproteobacteria; Moraxellales; Moraxellaceae
Also listed under: 37 other names
Description: tRNA-Thr
Rfam family: tRNA
About the family: Transfer RNA (tRNA) molecules are approximately 80 nucleotides in length. Their secondary structure includes four short double-helical elements and three loops (D, anti-codon, and T loops).
Source: RNAcentral
GCCGACAUAGCUCAGUUGGUAGAGCAACUGACUUGUAAUCAGUAGGUCCCGAGUUCGACUCUUGGUGUCGGCACCA